CUUGAGGAAGUACUUUGUCCACGUGGACAUAAAGCGCUCCCUCAAGGAAGCGUUUUCUGUUCACGUGGACAAAGCGCUUCAUUGAGG
Molecule: non-coding RNA, 87 nt
Organism: Gossypium raimondii (Peruvian cotton)
Lineage: Eukaryota; Viridiplantae; Streptophyta; Magnoliopsida; Malvales; Malvaceae
Source: Rfam